AAAAAAAAUAAAGAUGUGAUAUAAGUGCAGGUUAUAUAUAUAUAGAGUGUAAGAAGUACAGUGAAAAAGAACAGACUCGUCCUCUCGUCCAUCUUCCAUUCGAGCCGAGCAUCGAGAUUAAUACACAUCAUUUGAAUCCAAGCAAUCUGUCACAGACAUAUGGAUGUAUAUAUGUUUUAAAUAAAAAAUAUAUAUAUCAGAUUAUGUGGACAGCGCAUUACGAUUAGCAAUCUAUCACGGACAAGUUAUUACUUAUUAAGACGUGGAUGAUACAUAUUAGGUGGUACGUGGAUGAUACAUAUUAGAUGGUACGUGGAUGAUACAUAUUAGAUGGUACGUGGAUGAUAUAUUCCAAUUACAUGGACAACAUAUGGAUGUAUAUAUGUUUUAAAUAAAAAAUAUAUAUAUCAGAUUAUGUGGACAGCGCAUUACGAUUAGCAAUCUAUCACGGACAAGUUAUUACUUAUUAAGAGGUGGAUGAUAC
Formica exsecta is the source of this 484-nucleotide long non-coding RNA. RefSeq lists it as uncharacterized. The transcript is spliced from 4 exons. The record is from RefSeq and is a predicted model, not a curated record. NCBI's taxonomy places the organism in Eukaryota, Metazoa, Arthropoda, Insecta, Hymenoptera, Formicidae.